RNAcentral lists this ribosomal RNA (253 nucleotides) under uncultured bacterium. RNAcentral describes it as "partial 16S ribosomal RNA". It matches the Rfam family "Bacterial small subunit ribosomal RNA", at positions 524 to 776 of the family's 1533-position model. The record is from RNAcentral.
UACGGGGGGGGCAAGCGUUGUUCGGAAUUACUGGGCGUAAAGGGCUCGUAGGCGGCCAACUAAGUCAGACGUGAAAUCCCUCGGCUUAACCGAGGAAGUGCAUCCGAAACUGAGCAGCUAGAGUACGAAAGAGGGUCGCGGAAUUCCCGGUGUAGAGGUGAAAUUCGUAGAUAUCGGGAGGAACACCGGUGGCGAAGGCGGCGACCUGGGUCGAGACUGACGCUGAGGCGCGAAAGCGUGGGGAGCAAACAGG